Molecule: ribosomal RNA, 1299 nt
Filed under: metagenome
Description: bacterial LSU rRNA
Rfam family: Bacterial large subunit ribosomal RNA
Source: RNAcentral
UACACGACCGUACCGCAAACCGACACUGGUGCGCGAGAUGAGUAUUCUAAGGCGUUUGAGAGAACUCAGGAGAAGGAACUCGGCAAAUUGACACCGUAACUUCGGAAGAAGGUGUGCCUUUAGUAGGUGAACCUGUACAAGGGGAGCCCAAUGAGGUUGCAAAAAAUCGGUGGCUGCGACUGUUUAAUAAAAACACAGCACUCUGCAAACACGAAAGUGGACGUAUAGGGUGUGACGCCUGCCCGGUGCUGGAAGAUUAAAUGAUGGGGUGCAAGCUCUUGAUUGAAGUCCCAGUAAACGGCGGCCGUAACUAUAACGGUCCUAAGGUAGCGAAAUUCCUUGUCGGGUAAGUUCCGACCUGCACGAAUGGCGUAACGAUGGCCACACUGUCUCCUCCUGAGACUCAGCGAAGUUGAAAUGUUUGUGAUGAUGCAAUCUCCCCGCGGAAAGACGGAAAGACCCCAUGAACCUUUACUGUAGCUUUGUAUUGGACUUUGAACAGAUCUGUGUAGGAUAGGUGGGAGGCUUUGAAGUGUGGUCGCUAGAUCGCAUGGAGCCAACGUUGAAAUACCACCCUGGUGUGUUUGAGGUUCUAACCUAGGCCCGUAAUCCGGGUCGGGGACAGUGCAUGGUAGGCAGUUUGACUGGGGCGGUCUCCUCCCAAAGCGUAACGGAGGAGUUCGAAGGUACGCUAGGUACGGUCGGACAUCGUGCUAAUAGUGCAAUGGCAUAAGCGUGCUUAACUGCGAGACUGACAAGUCGAGCAGAUGCGAAAGCAGGACAUAGUGAUCCGGUGGUUCUGUAUGGAAGGGCCAUCGCUCAACGGAUAAAAGGUACUCUGGGGAUAACAGGCUGAUACCGCCCAAGAGUUCAUAUCGACGGCGGUGUUUGGCACCUCGAUGUCGGCUCAUCUCAUCCUGGGGCUGUAGCCGGUCCCAAGGGUAUGGCUGUUCGCCAUUUAAAGAGGUACGUGAGCUGGGUUUAAAACGUCGUGAGACAGUUUGGUCCCUAUCUUCCGUGGGCGCUGCAGAUUUGAGGAAGCCUGCUCCUAGUACGAGAGGACCGGAGUGGACACACCUCUGGUGUAUCGGUUGUCACGCCAGUGGCAUUGCCGAGUAGCUAUGUGUGGAAGAGAUAACCGCUGAAAGCAUCUAAGCGGGAAACUCGUUUCAAGAUGAGAUCUGCCGGGGCCUUGAGCCCCCUAAAGAGUCGUUCAAGACCAGGACGUUGAUAGGUCGGGUGUGGAAGCGCAGUAAUGCGUUAAGCUAACCGAUACUAAUUGCUCGUGCGGCUUGACCU